This is a long non-coding RNA of Scatophagus argus, 1212 nucleotides long. RefSeq lists it as uncharacterized. The transcript has 5 exons. The record is from RefSeq and is a predicted model, not a curated record. Lineage: Eukaryota; Metazoa; Chordata; Actinopteri; Scatophagidae.
UAGAAGGUUUGUAUUUGUCUAAUAGUUUUGACAUAUGAAUGAGUAAAUAUAAAGGAACUGAUCAGUGGUCCAAAAUUUUCAAUGUAGAGAGUGUUUAUUAAGAGAAAUUAGUGCCUGUGACUGUACUGAUAUUUUGUUAAAUUUGUUCCUCAAACCACCUACAUGCAAUAAGGUCAGAAACUGGUUAGAAGUUACCAGAUGCACCACAUCUACCGAGUAUGUUUAUCAUCUGUGUGAUCCUAGUAGAACAGAAAAAUAUGUGGCCUAAGAUCAUUUCUGCUUUAUCUGGUGGAUAACGAAGGGACAAGCGUGGAAGAGGCCUACAGCAGACCGUGUAGUUGUGUGAUGUAGUGCUACUUAAUUAAACUCUAAAGACAUUGAAAUAAAGUGAGCAAAUGUGUGCAUGAGUUUUGGGGUCAAUCACUACAUGAAACAUUUGAAAUGCUUCUGCAAUAUCAGCUUAAUUGAACUUAUAUUGCCAAAAAAGUUGUUGUUGUUGUUGUUGUUGUUGUUGUCGUCGUCGUCGUCAGGGCUGCCCCUGUCUCUGUGUGUCCUCCUCACAACACUUCCCAAGGCCUCUGGUCCUCUGAGGACAGUCCAGACCCGGACGGAGCCUGACCAAGAGAGGUGUGUAAGCUUGAAUGACAGAGACCCUCAUGGUUUUCGGGGGUGGGGAGGGCAGAGCUGGUGUUGGAAGUGAAUCCAGAGCCGGAAGCAAACCUCCUCUCCUUCAAAACUGACAGACAAGCGCGGCGUCAGACCUCCAGAGACCCUCACGAUUCUUUCAAGAGGACAUGAAAGAACCCACCAGGAAAAUGAAUAAUACAUCCAGCUUGCACUUCUGUUUGCUGUGGAAAGUCCCUGCUGGUUCACCUCCAUAUUCUGCAAAUAACAGCUAGAGACGGCGCGGCUCACCGAAGUUGGAUUCCUCUCCGAGUUCCCUGCCAAACCUCUGCAUGGUCUCUCCCAGGAUGGUCUCGGUCUGCGUGUAGCCCGGUCCCUUCUCCUGCCCCCUCAUACGUGACAUGGAGUUCAUCAUGCUCAUCUUAGCUCUGGUGGCUGUGAAGGCAAAGCAUUAAUGAAAACAACCACCACUUGGCUGAAUCAAUCUGUAGAGAGAAGACACAAUGACUGAGAUAUAAUGUCAACACCCGAAGAGCUGAAUCAGACGGAUCCUGACGGCUAUUAAGUGAUACUAUCGCUAUUUGACUU